CGAACGCUGGCGGCGUGCUUAACACAUGCAAGUCGAACGGUGAAGCGCCUUCCUUUUUGGUGGGUGUGGAUGAGUGGCGAACGGGUGAGUAACACGUGAGUAACCUGCCCCCUUCUUCUGGAUAACCGCAUGAAAGUGUGGCUAAUACGGGAUAUUCUGGGUCUGUCGCAUGAUGGGUCUGGGAAAGAUAUUGUUUCGGUGGGGGAUGGGCUCGCGGCCUAUCAGCUUGUUGGGGGGGUGAUGGCCUACCAAGGCGGUGACGGGUAGCCGGCCUGGGAGGGUGGACGGUCACACUGGGACUGAGACACGGCCCAGACUCCUACGGGAGGCAGCAGUGGGGAAUAUUGCACAAUGGGCGCAAGCCUGAUGCAGCGACGCCGCGUGAGGGAUGGAGGCCUUCGGGUUGUGAACCUCUUUCGCCAGUGAAGCAGGCCUGCCUCGUUUGUGGGUGGGUUGACGGUAGCUGGAUAAGAAGCGCCGGCUAACUACGUG
This 492-nucleotide ribosomal RNA is filed under the name uncultured bacterium. Its description in RNAcentral is "partial 16S ribosomal RNA". It matches the Rfam family "Bacterial small subunit ribosomal RNA", at positions 30 to 507 of the family's 1533-position model. The record is from RNAcentral.